CCUUGUUCUUUUUAAGGUUUGUUGAUAUUAGCUUUUAUCUGUAGGUUGUCAAUUAAAUGUUAUAGUAUUUGCAAUAUUUUUCUACUGUAGAUCAUCUUGGCUAGAGAGUAUCUAAAUGAUGUUUCCAUUAGUAGAGAACAGUUGAAGUACCUGGUUUUCGAAGCUUUACGAGGUGGUUGUCAGGGGCACAGAGCUGAGCUAUAUGAUGUUCGUGUUGCAAAGUGCUUAGUUGCUCUGGAGGGACGUGAUAAGGUUUAUGUGGAUGACCUGAAAAAAGUUGUAGAACUGGUUAUUCUUCUCCGGUCAAUUGUUAGUGAAAACCCACUAGAGUAGCAAAAUCAGCAGCCUCCCCCUCCACCUCCACCUCCCCAAAACCAAGAAGGCGAUGAACAGAAUGAAGAGGAAGAACAAGAGGAUGAAAAUGAUAAAGAGAAUGAGCAGCAGCAAGAGCAAUUACCUGAAGAGUUUAUCUUUGAUGCUGAAGAUGGCUUGGUAGAUGAGAAACUUCUCUUCUUUGCCCAACAAGCUUAGAGACACCGUGGGAGGGCUAGAAGGGCAAAGAAUGUCAUAUUUUUAGAGGAUAGAGGCCG
Molecule: long non-coding RNA, 590 nt
Organism: Arachis stenosperma
Lineage: Eukaryota; Viridiplantae; Streptophyta; Magnoliopsida; Fabales; Fabaceae
Exons: 4
Source: RefSeq, a predicted model, not a curated record